Molecule: long non-coding RNA, 181 nt
Organism: Melitaea cinxia (Glanville fritillary)
Lineage: Eukaryota; Metazoa; Arthropoda; Insecta; Lepidoptera; Nymphalidae
Exons: 3
Source: RefSeq, a predicted model, not a curated record
CAACAACCAGGAAAGCUUAAGACCUUUUAGAAAAGAUAAUUGUAUUGUUUCAUUUUCCCUUUUUAUUUAUUAUAGAUUGUACACUGUAUUUGUGCUAGUGGCUCUCUCUCCUUCCAUCUUUGUUGUUUAUAUCUUGUGGUGGAGUUAAUAUACGAGAUAACAAGUCAAAAAGAUCGAAAGA